RNAcentral lists this ribosomal RNA (445 nucleotides) under uncultured bacterium. RNAcentral's name for it is "SSU rRNA". It matches the Rfam family "Bacterial small subunit ribosomal RNA", at positions 26 to 518 of the family's 1533-position model. The record is from RNAcentral.
AGAGCGAACGCUGGCGGCAUGCUUAACACAUGCAAGUCUCACGGGCAGCAAUGUCAGUGGCGGACGGGUGAGUAACGCGUAGGUAUCUAUCCUUGGGUGGGGGAUAACGUUGGGAAACUGACGCUAAUACCGCAUGACACCUGUGGGUCAAAGGCGCGAGUCGCCUGGGGAGGAGCCUACGUACGAUUAGCUUGUUGGUGGGGUAAAGGCCUACCAAGGCUACGAUCGUUAGCUGGUCUGAGAGGAUGAUCAGCCACACUGGGACUGAGACACGGCCCAGACUCCUACGGGAGGCAGCAGUGGGGAAUAUUGGACAAUGGGCGAAAGCCUGAUCCAGCAAUGCCGCGUGUGUGAAGAAGGUCUUCGGAUUGUAAAGCACUUUCGGCGGGGACGAUGAUGACGGUACCCGCAGAAGAGCCCCGGCUAACUUCGCGCCAGCAGCCGC